Molecule: unclassified non-coding RNA, 236 nt
Filed under: uncultured fungus
Lineage: Eukaryota; Fungi
Description: sequence contains ITS2
Rfam family: 5.8S ribosomal RNA (bases 1-52)
Source: RNAcentral
AACGCACAUUGCGCCCCUUGGUAUUCCGAGGGGCAUGCCUGUUCGAGCGUCAUUAUGACCACUCCCGCAAGGGGUCUUGGGGCUCGCCGUCUUGGCGUCUCUUAAAAUCAGUGGCGGUGCCAUCGUGCUCUAAGCGUAGUAAUUCUUCUCGCUAUAGGGUUAGGGUGGAUGCUUGCCAACAACCUCAAUCUUCUUAGGUUGACCUCGGAUCAGGUAGGGAUACCCGCUGAACUUAA